RNAcentral lists this ribosomal RNA (406 nucleotides) under uncultured bacterium. RNAcentral describes it as "partial 16S ribosomal RNA". It matches the Rfam family "Bacterial small subunit ribosomal RNA", at positions 30 to 526 of the family's 1533-position model. The record is from RNAcentral.
AUUGAACGCUGGCGGCAGGCCUAACACAUGCAAGUCGAACGAGUGGCGGACGGGUGAGUAAUGUCUGGGAAACUGCCUGAUGGAGGGGGAUAACUACUGGAAACGGUAGCUAAUACCGCAUACCAUCAGAUGUGCCCAGAUUGGAUUAGCUAGUUGGUUGGGUAACGGCGCCCCAAGGCGACGAUCCCUAGCUGGGCUGAGAGGAUUACCAGCCACACCGGAACUGAGACCCGGGCCAGACUCCUACGGGAGGCAGCAGUGGGGAAUAUUGCACAAUUGGCUGAAGCCUUGUGCAGCAAUGCCGCGUGUAGUAAGGAGGCCUUCGGGUUGUAAAGUACUUUCAGCGGGGGAACGGUAACCGAAGAAGAAGCACCGGCUAACUCCGUGCCAGCAGCCGCGGUUAUAC